Molecule: ribosomal RNA, 519 nt
Filed under: uncultured bacterium
Lineage: Bacteria
Description: bacterial SSU rRNA
Rfam family: Bacterial small subunit ribosomal RNA
Source: RNAcentral
AAUCAACGCUGGCGGCGUGCCUCAGACAUGCAAGUCGAACGCGAAAGUCCCCUUCGGGGGACAAGUAGAGUGGCGCACGGGUGAGUAACACGUAGGUAAUCUACCUUCGGAUGGGGAAUAACAACCGGAAACGGUUGCUAAUACCGCAUAAUGCAGCGGCACCUAAUGGUGACAGUUGUUAAAGCGGGGGAUCGAAAGACCUCGCGUCUGAAGAGGAGCCUGCGGCGGAUUAGCUAGNGGUAAGGUAAUGGCUUACCAAGGCGACGAUCCGUAGCCGGCCUGAGAGGGCGGUCGGCCACACUGACACUGACAUACGGGUCAGACUCCUACGGGAGGCAGCAGUCGGGAAUUUUGGGCAAUGGGCGAAAGCCUGACCCAGCAACGCCGCGUGAAGGAUGAAAUCCCUCGGGAUGUAAACUUCGCAAGAACGGGAAGAAUAAGUAGGGGACGAACUACCCCCUACUGAUGACGGUACCGUUUGUAAGCUCCGGCUAACUCCGUGCCAGCCGCCGCAGUAAC